GUGGUUUAAUUCGAAGCAACGCGAAGAACCUUACCAGGUCUUGACAUCCCGAUGCUAUUUCUAGAGAUAGAAAGUUACUUCGGUACAUCGGUGACAGGUGGUGCAUGGUUGUCGUCAGCUCGUGUCGUGAGAUGUUGGGUUAAGUCCCGCAACGAGCGCAACCCCUAUUGUUAGUUGCCAUCAUUCAGUUGGGCACUCUAGCGAGACUGCCGGUAAUAAACCGGAGGAAGUGGGGAUGACGUCAAAUCAUCAUGCCCCUUAUGACCUGGGCUACACACGUGCUACAAUGGUUGGUACAACGAGUUGCGAGUCGGUGACGGCGAGCUAAUCUCUUAAAGCCAAUCUCAGUUCGGAUUGUAGGCUGCAACUCGCCUACAUGAAGUCGGAAUCGCUAGUAAUCGCGGAUCAGCACGCCGCGGUGAAUACGUUCCCGGGCCUU
This 439-nucleotide ribosomal RNA is filed under the name uncultured Streptococcus sp. RNAcentral describes it as "bacterial SSU rRNA". It matches the Rfam family "Bacterial small subunit ribosomal RNA", at positions 941 to 1382 of the family's 1533-position model. Lineage: Bacteria; Bacillati; Bacillota; Bacilli; Lactobacillales; Streptococcaceae. The record is from RNAcentral.